Helicoverpa armigera (cotton bollworm) is the source of this 515-nucleotide long non-coding RNA. RefSeq lists it as uncharacterized. The record is from RefSeq and is a predicted model, not a curated record. The transcript has 2 exons. Lineage: Eukaryota; Metazoa; Arthropoda; Insecta; Lepidoptera; Noctuidae.
AACAUGAUGAAGAUAUCCAACACGGUACAAUAAUUAUUGCAUUGAUUAUAAUCAAUACUAUAAAAGGGUUACAUGCUUAUAGCGUUGCGAGGAAAAGGAACCCUUUUAUAUACUAAAACUGUACACGUCAUUUACACAGUGACAAUAAAUGUAUAAAUAAAGCAACAAAUUGUGGUGUUGUUUAGUGUUCAAAGUUGAAGCGUGUCGUCAUGUGGUCCAAGGUUUACUUCGCGUUCCUGCUUCUCAUUUUAGGAGUAGCCUUUACUGCUGCAAAUUCUAUCAGAGCGAAUAUUAAAUGUCCAGGUGGGAGGGAACCAACGCUUUCGGGAAGAUGUCCAUUUGAACCUGAAAGCUUUGAUGAUGAUUACUACUAAGGGAUGAAAAUCACACAAGACACGUGGUACCCGCUGAUAGUUAUAUGUCAAUGGCUGAAGACAACGGCAGUGGAACUAUACAAUAACUUGUAAACAUGUGUCAUUACCAAAUUGUCAAUAAAAAGGCAUGUCGCAGUAAAA